GGAUACCCGAGGGAAACUUCGGUUAAUACGGUAUAAGACCACACUACCGCAUAGUAGAGGGGUAAAAGGGGCAACCUGGUAUGAGAUGGACUCGCGUCGCAUUAGCUAGUUGGUGAGGUAACGGCCCACCAAGGCGACGAUGCGUAGCCGACCUGAGAGGGUGAUCGGCCACAUUGGGACUGAGAUACGGCCCAGACUCCUACGGGAGGCAGCAGUGGGGAAUAUUGGGCAAUGGAGGAAACUCUGACCCAGCAAUGCCGCGUGAAUGAAGAAGGUCUUCGGAUUGUAAAGUUCUUUAGUCAGGGAAGAAGUCAAUGACGGUACCUGAAGAAUAAGCUCCGGCUAACUACGUGCCAGCAGCCGCGGUAAUACGUAGGGAGCAAGCGUUGUUCGGAAUGACUGGGCGUAAAGGGUGCGUAGGCGGUUGUACAAGUUAGAAGUGAAAUACCCAGGGCUUAACUCGGGUGCUGCUUCUAAAACUGUAUGACUUGAGUGCAGUAGAGGUUAGUGGAAUUCCUAGUGUAGCGGUGGAAUGCGUAGAUAUUAGGAGGAACACCAGAGGCGAAGGCGGCUAACUGGACUGCAACUGACGCUGAGGCACGAAAGUGUGGGGACCAAAAAGGAUUAGAUACCCUGGUAGUCCACACUGUAAACGAUGGAUACUAGAUGUAGGAGGUAUCGACUCCUUCUGCGUCGCAG
This 699-nucleotide ribosomal RNA is filed under the name uncultured bacterium. RNAcentral's name for it is "bacterial SSU rRNA". It matches the Rfam family "Bacterial small subunit ribosomal RNA", at positions 141 to 851 of the family's 1533-position model. The record is from RNAcentral.